Molecule: ribosomal RNA, 580 nt
Filed under: uncultured rumen bacterium
Lineage: Bacteria
Description: bacterial SSU rRNA
Rfam family: Bacterial small subunit ribosomal RNA
Source: RNAcentral
GGAGCCGCAUGACUCUGUUAUCAAAGGAGCAAUCCGCUGGAAGAUGGGCUCGCGUCCGAUUAGAUAGUUGGUGGGGUAACGGCCUACCAAGUCGACGAUCGGUAGCCGGACUGAGAGGUUGAACGGCCACAUUGGGACUGAGACACGGCCCAGACUCCUACGGGAGGCAGCAGUGGGGAAUAUUGCACAAUGGGCGAAAGCCUGAUGCAGCAACGCCGCGUGAGGGAAGACGGUUUUCGGAUUGUAAACCUCUGUCCUUGGUGAAGAUCAUGACGGUAGCCGAGGAGGAAGCCACGGCUAACUACGUGCCAGCAGCCGCGGUAAUACGUAGGUGGCAAGCGUUGUCCGGAAUUACUGGGUGUAAAGGGAGCGCAGGCGGGGAAGCAAGUCAGUGGUGAAAUGCAUGGGCUUAACCCAUGAACUGCCAUUGAAACUGUUUUUCUUGAGUGGAUCAGAGGCAAGCGGAAUUCCGAGUGUAGCGGUGAAAUGCGUAGAUAUUCGGAGGAACACCAGUGGCGAAGGCGGCUUGCUGGGGUCUAACUGACGCUGAGGCUCGAAAGUGUGGGGAGCAAACAGGAUU